This 417-nucleotide RNase P RNA is filed under the name Actinomycetota bacterium. Its description in RNAcentral is "Actinobacteria bacterium RNase P RNA component class A". It matches the Rfam family "Bacterial RNase P class A". From Rfam's summary of the family: Ribonuclease P (RNase P) is a ubiquitous endoribonuclease, found in archaea, bacteria and eukarya as well as chloroplasts and mitochondria. Its best characterised activity is the generation of mature 5'-ends of tRNAs by cleaving the 5'-leader elements of precursor-tRNAs. The record is from RNAcentral. Lineage: Bacteria; Bacillati; Actinomycetota.
CGAGCCGGCCGGGCGGCCGCGCCGGGCCAUGCCAGUCGUGGCCUGGUGAGGAAGGUCCGGGCUCCACAGGGCAGGGUGGUCGGUAACGCCGACCCGGGGUGACCCGCGGGACAGUGCCACAGAAAACAGACCGCCCAGGCCAGGCUCCGGCCGGGCCGGGGUAAGGGUGAAACGGUGGUGUAAGAGACCACCAGCGCCCGGAGUGAUCCGGGCGGCUUGGUAAACCCCACCCGGAGCAAGGUCACAAGGGCCGCGCGCCUUCCGGGGCGCGGGGCCUGCGCGAGCGGUUGAGGGCGGCCCGCCCGAUGCUCGCGGGUAGACCGCACGAGGCUGCCGGUAACGGCAGUCCUAGAUGGAUGGCCGCCGGCCCGCGUUCGCGCGGGUGCACAGAACCCGGCCUACAGGCCGGCUCGCCCC